This 250-nucleotide ribosomal RNA is filed under the name uncultured bacterium. Its description in RNAcentral is "partial 16S ribosomal RNA". It matches the Rfam family "Bacterial small subunit ribosomal RNA", at positions 81 to 334 of the family's 1533-position model. The record is from RNAcentral.
UAAGUGAUGGCGACCGGCGCACGGGUGAGUAACACGUAUCCAACCUGCCGAUAACUCGGGGAUAGCCUUUCGAAAGAAAGAUUAAUACCCGAUGGUAUAAUAAAGCCGCAUGGUUUAAUUAUUAAAGAAUUUCGGUUAUCGAUGGGGAUGCGUUCCAUUAGGCAGUUGGUGAGGUAACGGCUCACCAAACCUUCGAUGGAUAGGGGUUCUGAGAGGAAGGUCCCCACAUUGGAACUGAGACACGGUCCAA